UACGUAGGGCGCAAGCGUUGUCGGGAAUUAUUGGGCGUAAAGAGCUCGUAGGCGGCUUGUCACGUCGGUUGUGAAAGCCCGGGGCUUAACCCCGGGUCUGCAGUCGAUACGGGCAGGCUAGAGUGUGGUAGGGGAGAUCGGAAUUCCUGGUGUAGCGGUGAAAUGCGCAGAUAUCAGGAGGAACACCGGUGGCGAAGGCGGAUCUCUGGGCCAUUACUGACGCUGAGGAGCGAAAGCGUGGGGAGCGAACAGG
RNAcentral lists this ribosomal RNA (253 nucleotides) under uncultured bacterium. Its description in RNAcentral is "partial 16S ribosomal RNA". It matches the Rfam family "Bacterial small subunit ribosomal RNA", at positions 524 to 776 of the family's 1533-position model. The record is from RNAcentral.